RNAcentral lists this unclassified non-coding RNA (207 nucleotides) under Ascomycota sp. RNAcentral describes it as "partial contains small subunit ribosomal RNA, internal transcribed spacer 1, and 5.8S ribosomal RNA". The stretch from base 1 to 47 matches the Rfam family "Eukaryotic small subunit ribosomal RNA", at positions 1785 to 1831 of the family's 1831-position model. Lineage: Eukaryota; Fungi; Ascomycota. The record is from RNAcentral.
AAAGUCGUAACAAGGUCUCCGUAGGUGAACCUGCGGAGGGAUCAUUAACGAACGGCCCGCCCUCGGGCCCAAGUACCCCAAAACCUGUGGAACAGAGACGUGCUUCGACGAACCCUUCGGGGGUCGUCGCAUUUAUGCAAGUACAUGUCGUUCUCGUCUGAUUCUAUGAGAAAAUCAAAACUUUCAACAAAGGAUCUCUUGGCUCUC